UCUGGCUAAACCUUGGGUGUGGCUGCUGUGUCACAUGCGCGUCAGUAGGUGGCAGAGAGGAGCGAAGCUGUGUCUGUGCUUAGUGUUCUGAUCUAUGAAUGAAUGAUUAGUAGCCUAACAUU
Molecule: small nucleolar RNA, 122 nt
Filed under: Meriones unguiculatus (Mongolian gerbil)
Lineage: Eukaryota; Metazoa; Chordata; Mammalia; Rodentia; Muridae
Description: Small nucleolar RNA SNORA17 (ENSMUGG00000025521.1)
Rfam family: Small nucleolar RNA SNORA17
About the family: snoRNA ACA 17 belongs to the H/ACA family of snoRNAs and is predicted to guide pseudouridylation of the 28S rRNA at positions U4659 and U4598. It shares the same host gene together with ACA43. NB This family has a high threshold value to exclude a large number of closely related sequences that do not appear to have conserved H and ACA boxes, and may be pseudogenes.
Source: RNAcentral